Long non-coding RNA from Asparagus officinalis (garden asparagus), 3933 nucleotides. RefSeq lists it as uncharacterized. The record is from RefSeq and is a predicted model, not a curated record. The transcript has 2 exons. Lineage: Eukaryota; Viridiplantae; Streptophyta; Magnoliopsida; Asparagales; Asparagaceae.
CAUACUGAAAUUAAAAAAACAUGUCAGUAAAUCAAUAUGAGGACAAGCAUAUCAUUUAUAUUAUAUGUUGUACGUUUGUGCAUAUGUAUGUAUAUGUAUGACUUAUAUGUGCAUGUGUUCAUGCAUGAGUUCACAUAUGGUUUAUGUACAUGUAUACAAACAUGAGUUGUGUUCUUUCAUGUACAUGUGGGCUGCUUGCACGCAUGCUAGUAUGUAUGAGAUUAUAUAUUCUGAAAGACUACAAAAACAAUAGUUCUAUCACCACACAUCUUGAAUUGGUUUCAAAACAGAGUAAAAUGAAUAACAGUGAUAUAACAGAAUAUUUUAAGCAUAUGUGAAUAUUUGCAGAUGUAAACUCUAGUUCACCAAUCAUGGUGAGCCAUUAGCUUGAUCUAUAAUUAGGCAUUCAUUCUAUGUGAGGAACAUUUAAUAUGUAUUUGGCUUUGUAAUAAGUUGAUCUCAAAAAGCUGUAUUGUAAAUGUUCUUUUUAGUUUCCCCUAGCAAUUAAUGACUCAGCUAAUGGCAAAAACUGAGAGAGUAGAAAGGUGACUGUCUGUUUUUUUGUUAAUAGUCAUAGAUAACACAUGGUGGUAUAGUAAGUUCUCCCGCAAGAGACUUUUUAUUUUGUUUUUUUGAGAGAAUAUUAGAAAAUUUUCAAAUUCACUGGGGCUGGACCUGUGUUUCAUUAUUAACUCUGGAUUCUGUGUCUUUAUAUCAUUGCUGUAACUGGUGUAAAAAGCAGUCUAGGUGUCCGCCUAGAUGGAGGUUGUAGGUGGGCCACCUAAUGAAGCACUUAGGGUGCCUAAGAGGCAUGAACCGCUUAAAUGGGCUGCAUUGCUUUGAAAAAGAUAUGUGCCAGUAUGUGAGGAAAAUGAAUCAUAACAAAACGGAUUGAGUCAAUAUCCGAUGGCCAAAUCCAAAUUAGAGAAAAAACUACCGUCAGAAUUUUGCAUCCCCGAAUAGACUUUUCAAUUUCUCAUCUUCAUAGUUUUGUUUUACAGUAGUGCUCAGAAUUUUUGUGAUCAUUUUCAUCUUCCUCUCUUUUACAAUCUUGCUUAGAAUUUCCAUGAUCAUUUUCAUCUUCCUAUCUAUUUCUUCAGUUCUUUCUCUUGUUCUUCUCCUAUUUCUCUCACUGUGGCAGCCACUUAGACAUCUGGUGCCAGGUCCAGCACCUAGAAGUUUCAAGGCCUUCUAACAUUCUAAGAUUUUGGAGUGAUUAAACAUAUGUUCUUGUUAUUGGACAAAGAUACCUUCCAGAUUUUACAUAUAUAAUUAGAGACUACAAUCUUUUCUUAUCGAGUGUUCUUUGGUUUCAUUAAGAAGAAAACAAAAACUUCUACCCCUUAAAACCAAACCUUAAUAAUCAAGAACUAAGCUCUCUAAUGCCUGGUUCUGAAUUAACUCACAAUUUUGCACUUGAAACUGUGCCCCUUGAAAUCGGACCUUAAGAAAAAAGCUCCUUAAUUCAUUUACUGUUUGCUUAAGUCAUGUAUUCAUCUUCUACCAUAUGAUUGUCAUGCUAUUUGGUCCAGUUUGAAUUAAAAAAAAAAACCCUGCUUUUGUGCACCGUUCAUGCAUUCUGGACAGGAUUAACCUUGCAGGCUCAAUUUUUGCAUUGCUGGAUAUUGACCUCUUGUUCCUUCAAAGAGGAAGCUUAAAGCCAUCAUUGGCGUUAACUAUCGGAGGUGAUUAAAGACAGAAAGGAUGACAUUUUGCUGAAGGUGGAAUGCACUAGCUGGACCAGCAGUGCAAAGCCUACAACAGCAGGACAUGCCCAUGAUCCCAAACCUGCUUAACCAAGGAACCAAAGGUGCUGGAGCAAGAGUCUUGGUAUCUCUCAUGCCAGGUUUGGGAUGGAAGUCUAUUUUUGGCUAUCUCUGGUUCCAGCUGGCUGAGGUUUGUAUCCCGUAUGGGGUAACGAACUAUGACAAUCGCACAUACUAGCUUGUUUGGAGCUGUUGAAUUGAGUCUUGGUAUCUCUCAUGCCAGGUUUGGGAUGGAAGUUUAUUUUUGGCUAUCUCUGGUUCCAGCUGGUUGAGGUUUGUAUCCCGUAUGGGGUAACGAACUAUGCCAAUCGCACAUACUAGCUUGUUUGGAGCUGUUGAAUUGAAUAUCAGUCAUCAUCCUGUGUUCGCCUUUUCAAUGUGUUUUUUUCUUCCACUUAAAUUUCAAACUAGCAUAAUUUUGCAUCAUAGUUCCCGAUUGAGGUAAGCCAGGAGUUGACAAAAAGCGAUUUUUGAGGCCCGCGAGGUGGUGACAGGUUCACUGGUUUGAGAUUAAUCUGGGUGGAAGGGCUAUUUGAGCUACCUGAGACCGAUGGAUAUUGAUUCGAAAUUUAUCAAAUCAUAGCAUGAUUUCGUUUUGGACCCAUAGAUUUCGUUUGAGACACAGCUGAGGAUAUUGUUCUGAACUUUCACUUGAGGGUCGUCAAUUAGGUUAGGAGGAUGCUGUAGGGACUGAUCCCCUCUCGUAUGUCUGGUGCAUGAUCCACUGACAUUGUUGAUUUUUAUGCUUGAACCUUUUAGGACUAGCGAGCAACUUUUCAUGUAUUGUUAACUAAUAAAAGAUAAAUUAUCUGGGGAUUAAGGGGGUAAUAAAAGGUGAAGCACUGUAUAGUCUUAGGGCAGCUAGCGUGUUAUAUAUGAUACAUUUGUAUGAACUUGAACCUAGUACAUUAUUUAUACAUGGUAUAUGUAUGAGCCACCUCGGGUCUGGUACAUUGUAUAUGGUACUGAUGCUGUCCACCUCGGAACUGGUACAAUCACCUCGAGCUUAGCGCAUUGCAUUCUUCCUUGAUUUGAUGGGUAGUAGUCACCAGUUAAUUCCAAACAAGACUAAUAAAAGAUGCGUAGUUUAUUAUCUUGGAUCUUUGUCAUGUUGUAUUCAUAUUUCCAAUUUUGAUUUAACGGAAUGUAACUUUUACAUUUACAUGCUUGACACCUAUAUGCCUGCCGCCUCACGCACUUUUUGACGUCGACUCUUGACACCUUAAUAGGCGUAGCUAGACUUGUUAUAUUUUGUUUGUGGUGCUGCUAGUGUUAGUAUGGUAGGUUGUCCACAAUGUUUAUUGCUCUUUCCUUUGACACUUGUGAUAUGCUUAGGAUCCGCCGUGUUAGUAUAGCUGACACCUUUAUUGAUGUUUGCUUACGUGUGUGUUAAUCACAUGCUACUGUAGUGAGAACAUAUCUCCUCAGUACACCCCGCAAGCGAGCGAAAGUAGGAAUCCCGUCAGAACCAACCCUAUGGGAGUGUAGUAGUAGUUUACACAAUUGAUAGGAUAGUCAUGAUUCCCUAACCAACCCUUUAACUACUCAUGAAUGCUAUAGAUCAUCCUAUUUUAUAGGUUGUUCUGAUAGAAUCUUUACUCUGUGAGUGACACGUUCUCAACCAACAAAAGGUUGGAAUGUCUAUAUUGCCUCCCUACCCAACUCAUGGAUGGUUGAGAAUUCCCACUAUCUUGCAGGGUUUCUGUGGUGAUAUGGUACUCUGGGAUAAUAGAUGUUAUUGUUUCAUUAUUAUUUGCUUAUGAUUUCAUGCUUUUCGUCUUUAGUACUCAUGCGUUCCUACGCUGUGUGUGUUGCGUGUUCCUACGCUGUGUGUGUUGCAUGCAUACUUUGUUUACCACUUGCUAGUCUUCUUUCAGGUGGACCUACGGUUGCAUAUCCAGACCCAGGAGUGUGAUUUUCCAUUGCCUGUUCGAGCUCAUCCGGACAUGCUGGUGCAGCAUCAAUGAGAUCAAAUACACCCUAACCACUCCAUCAUCUAUAGCUGCAUACCCCUUACUUUUCAGUGAGAUACUGUAUCAGUUUUAUGGCCGUGUGCCUUACAAUUAUAGUCAUAUACCAGUUGAAACUUGUAUUAUUUCUAGUUUCAGACAUAUUGGAUUUGUAUUCAUUUAUCUCAUUUUAGUGUCUGUUGCUUAUUCUUGUUUUA